Molecule: non-coding RNA, 588 nt
Organism: Camellia sinensis
Lineage: Eukaryota; Viridiplantae; Streptophyta; Magnoliopsida; Ericales; Theaceae
Source: RefSeq, a predicted model, not a curated record
CAAAUAAUGAACCCUUGACAAUAACUGAUCUGAAAUUCCCUCCGAGUCCUGCACAAUUGUUUGCGUGAAUAGCAUUGGAUUAAUUAACCAUUCUUAAAACCCAUUUUUGUUUGCAGAGUGCUGGUGGACCGGGCACUGGAAGUGAUAUUGGGCUGAUUGCGAGGUUCUGCUGUGGGACCUUUCUCGGUCCAUAUUUCCUCACACGACCCAUUAUGCUGUGGGCCCUUUUUAGGUGGAUUUCAGUUUGUAGUUAGUGGAUUAUUAAUCAUCUUGUGUGCUGUCAAAGUUGGUCCCUGUAUCUUACCAAGGGCUCGAGCUGGAAGUUUUGGGGGCCAAGUAAUGCUUCCACUAGCUCAUACUAUUGAGCACGAAGAGUUAUUGGAGGUCAUUAAGUUGGAAGGUGUUCGCCAUUAUCCUGAAGAUGCAAUAAUGCCUAGAGACAUGUUUCUCUUGCAAUUGUUUACAAAUUGAUAGGAAGCUUUGAAAAAGCGACAUGAAGAGUCUUUAGAGCCUAAGGCAAUACCUUUAACUCAGGAGCAGCUGUCAAUCGAGAUUCUUGGAAAGAAAUCGGGAUACUUAAAAGGCGUU